RNAcentral lists this long non-coding RNA (821 nucleotides) under Ananas comosus (pineapple). RNAcentral describes it as "long non-coding RNA (ACOM_LNC001393)". Lineage: Eukaryota; Viridiplantae; Streptophyta; Magnoliopsida; Poales; Bromeliaceae. The record is from RNAcentral.
UUUUUGGCUCUCAAAGUUGUAUCUUUAUGUUUAUUUUCAAGGAUAAACUUCAGAUACCACCCAUGUGGUUUCGCACUUUUUCACUCUACUACUUUGUGGUUUAAAGUGUAUCAAGUUAGUAUCCUCUAUAACUUUUCUUUUAUCUUUUCGUCAGUUUCUCCGUCAAUAUUUCAUUAAAUUAUAUAAAAAAAACUUCAGAUACUCCACCUAGGUUUAUCGAAUAUUCACUUUAGUACUCUUUAAUUUUAACUUUGUUAAUGAUUUAACGAAAAAAAUUAGUGAAAUUAAUGUAUAAUAAAAAGAUAAAAAUAAAACCAUAUGACACUAAAUUGAUAUCCUUUAAACCACAGGUACUAAAGUGAGAAAGUGUGAAAUCACAAGAGUGGUAUUUAAAGUUUUCCCUUUUUUCAAAUAAGCUAUAACGUCCUUACUUUUCUAAUCAAAUAAUAUAUAGAUAAAAAUGUAUAGAACUUACCCGAACGGCUAAACUGUAUAUGAACCUUUUUUAUUUGACUAACCAACCUUUCAAAUUUUUUAUUUUACGAUCAAAUCCUUUUAUUUAUUUGAUUCGAUUCAGUAGCCGACAUUUUUACUUUAAAAUUUGAGAGCAUCAUUUAUUUUUUUUACAUAUUUAGUUAGCAUAUUUUAUGCGCUUUUUUGUAAUUAUAAAUUUAUGAAAAUAUAUAAUUAGCUUAAAUUUAUGAGUCAAACUAUGAUCGGUUGAUUUAAAUCAAACAAAUUGAAAUAUUGGAUAGAAAUUCCAUAAUAAUCCAUGGCUCAAUUAAAUUCUAUUUAUUUUCACCUCAUAUAUAAUAUAUUAU